AUUCCUGCAGCCCGGUUUAUGAUACACACACGCUCAGGGAUUGUACUUCCCAGAGAGGCUUCCGCCUGUGCUUGCUCCCGGAAUCUAUUAUCCAUCGUGCUUUUUUGUUGCACACGUCUUUAAAGUCCACCAGAAUCCAACGAAAUGGAGCCUCGAGGAAAAGAAGAGAUUUAGCCGCGAAGGAUUCUGGGAAUGCUGGGCUUACAGGGGCGCCGAUCUUCGCUGGCGCUAGGCGCUUGGUUUCCUCUCCGCAGCUCUCUGCGCACGGUACGCCUGUCCCUCGUUGGCCUUCCACUCAGGGCAAUCACCAGCCACUCUCAGGGUCCUCUUGAGCCGUACUAAAAGUUUGGGAAGACUAAAGGAAAUCAGAAGUCCCUCAGUCUGAACAGGACAGCCGUGAGUGGGUGGCCUGGGACCCUCAAAGUAUAAAAACCUAUCGGCCGGCGGGAACUGCUUCAGUCAUUUCAGGGGCAGUGUUUGAUCAGCACUUCUGCGGGAGGAGAUUCCUGAAUCCUGUGUUCCUUAAGGGCUUCCCUGCUGCAGGCUGGGGAUGUUUCAAUGGACUUUCCCUCGAGCCCUUUGGAAAUUACUUCUUAAGCAAUUUUUCGAUGAUCAGCUCCUUUUUAUAGGCAUUUUGUCGUUAAGGGGAGGGGACUGGGUUACCCAGGAAAUAAGUGAGUAUGGGGAUUCUAAGGCUCCUUUUCAUUUUGUCUUGUCUCUUUCCCUUUCAAUCACAGCCGGUGGCAUUUUUGCCAGUGUAAGUUUCUUAAUUUUGUGGGUCUUCCUAUGAAUCUUAAUGGGAUUGGCUCCAUCGGAGAAGCCACACUCACAAAUGUCUUUGAGCUAGCCCUUCUCUAUAUUGGGCAGCUGUAGUUUGGGGCUUACAGUUUUGUAAGAAGUCUGAAGUGGGUCUCACUGGGCUAAAAUCAAGGUGUCGACAGUGCUGCAUUCCUUCUGGAGGUUCCAGGGGAGAAUCUUUUCUUGCCUUUUCCAACUUCCAGAGGCUGCCUGCAUCCUUGACUCGCAGCCCCUUCUUCCAACUUCAAAGUAGCAACCUCAGCCAGAGUCCGUCCAUUGCUGCCCUCUGUAUGGUUCUCUCUCCUCCGCAGCCCUCUUCCACUUUUAAGGACCCUCAUGGUUAACACUGGGCUCACCCAGCUAAUUGAGGAGAAUCGUUAAGGCCAGCUGAUUAGCAACCUUAAUUCCAUUUGCAAUUUUAUUCCCUUUUGUCAUGUAACCUAACAUAUUCAGAGGUUCCGGGGAUUAGGACAUGUAUAUCUUUGGGGGGUGGUAUUCUGCUGACCACAGCAGGAUUAGAAAACCAGAUGGAAGUGAAUGGAUACCGGGAAUCUAGGAUCCAGCUGGCUGUCAGGCUGGCAGAGGUAUCCCAGACCUGUCAGCUCUCAGGAAAGCUGCAUCCAGAGUGCUUUUUGGAUCACUGGGGGAUACCUGGCCUCACUCUAGACUCACUGCCGUGGUCGUUUCAGAAUUGAAUCCGUGAUCAGGAAAUGUUCCCAGUGUUGCUAAUGUACUCCUCCCACACUUGAGAGUCCUGAAUCCCAUCUCCUGAGAAGAGGCGUUGGGCUCAAGUGGCUAGAGAGAAGUUUCUUGUCAGAGAAAUCUUGCUACCUUGAGGAGAGGAAGCAUAACUAGACUGGGAUGGAUAGGACACUUAGGGAAGAGGAAGUGUUUCAUAUCCCUGGGACCAGGAGGCCAGAAUGAGGCAAACUUGCCCCUCUGUCUGGCCUCCUGUGUUGAGGAGGCCUGAGGUGGCAGAAGGAAGAUGGGAGAAGGGCCCCCAAGAAAGCUCUGGCCAGCCUCAGGCUGUCCCCACCCCGCUGAUAUAGCGUAUGUGGAGAUAAGGGAGCACCCAGGAGCAAGUGUCACCCCUCCCCUUCCAACAGCAGCCAAAAGGGUCAUGACCCUGGCUGCCCUAACUUGGCCCUUGUGUGUCCUGAAGCACAGACACACUGCUUAGAAAGAUCAUCCUGGUCGCAGUGGCUCACGCCUGUAAUCACAGCACUUUGGGAGGCCGAGGUGGACAGAUCACGAGGUCAGGAGUUCAAGACCAGCCUGACCAACAUGGUGAAGCCCCGCCUCCACUAAAAAUACAAAAAUUAGCUGGGCGGGGUGGCACGCACCUGUAAUCCCAGCUACUCAGGGAGCUGGAGCAGGAGAAUCACUUGAACCCGGAGGCAAAGGUCGCAGUGAGCCGAGAUCGCACCACUGUAUUCCAGCCUGGGCGACAAAGCAAGACUCCAUCUCAAAAAAAAAAAAAAGAGAUUCUCCUUUGUCUUGCCUCUCAGCUGUCAUAAGCAAUCAGUGUCCUGUCCCCUUAAUAAUGUGGUGGUUCUCAAAGUGGGAUCCCCAGGCCAGCAGCAGCAGCAUCCCCCUUAAAAGUUGUUAGAAAAGCAAAUUCAGGGGUCCCACUCCACACCUAUAAAACAAAUUCUGGGGUCAGGGCUUAGCAGCCUUUGUUUUGACAAUCCUUGUAGUUGAUACGCUAUAAAGUUUGAAAAUCACUGACUCAGAGGAAAUGGCUUUGUGGAGAAAAUGAGCCAAGGCCGGGUGUGGUGGCUCACGCCUGUAAUUCCAGCACUUUGGAAUGCUGAGGCAGGUGCAUCACCUGAGGUCAGGAGUUUGAGACCAGCCUGGCCAACAUGGUGAAACCCCGUCUCGACUAAAAAUUAAAAAAAUAGCUGGGCAUGGUGGCACACACCUGUAAUCCCAGCUACUCAGGAGGCUGAGGUGGGACAAUCACUUGAACCCAGGAGGUGGAGGUUGCAGUGAGCUGAGAGCUCACUGGGAGACAAAGUGAGACUCCGUCUCAAAAAAACAAAAAAACAAAAAAAAAAAGAAAGAAAAUAAACGAGCCAUAGGAAAGGCCACAAGACAGCUACUUACUUCCACAAGCACAUGCUGCGGCUCCCUGCCUCUCCUUUUGCUCAGAGCCACACUGGCUCUUAAUGGCUUCAGAGGUCACACCAGCCUCCGUCCUGCCACACAACCUUUGCACUUGCGGGGCCAUGACCAGCAGCACUCAACACAGCUGGCCGCUUCUCAUGCAUGAUGUCUGAGCGUACGUCUCAGGAGGGGCCCUCACUUAGUACCCUGUACAGUAACAGCCCUUGCUGCUCCCAUGGUGACUUUUUAUUUCCUUUUAGCAUUUUCCACUGUUGAAUAAGUUCACAUAGAUUGGGUUUACUUUUUUUUUUUUCUUAAUUUAGACACAGUGUCUUGCUCUGUCACCCAGGCUGGAGUGCAGUGGCACACCACUCAUAUAGCUCACUGCAACCUUGGACUUCUGAGCUUAAGCAGUCCUCCCACCUCAGCCUUCUGAGUAGCUGGGAUUCCAGGUCUGCACCACCACACCUGGCUAAUUUUAUUAUUUAUUUAUUUAUUUAUUUUUUAGACAGAGUUUCGCUCUUGUUGCCCAGGCUGGAGCACAAUGGCACGAUCUUGGCUCGCCACAACCUCCGCCUCCUGGGUUCAAGCGAUUCUCCUGCCUCAUCCUCCCAAGUAGCUGGGAUUACAGGCAUGCGCCACCAUGCCAGGCUAAUUUUUUGUACUUUUAGUAGAGACAGAGUUUCUCCAUGUUGGUCAGGCUGGUCUUGAACUCCCGACCUCAGGUCAUCGGCCCGCCUUGGCCUCCCAAAAUGCUGGGAUUACAGGCAUAAACUACUGUACCUGGCCUAUACAUACACACACACACACACACACACAUAUGUGUAUAUAUAGAUAUAUAUGUGUAUAUAUGUAUAUAUAUGUGUGUGUGUGUGUGUGUGUAUAUAUAUAUAUAUAUUUUUUUUUUUUUUUGAGAUGGAGUCUCACUCUGAUGCCUAGGCUGGAGUGCAGUGGCGGGAUCUCGGCUCACUGCAAUCUCCGCCUCCCGGGUUCAAGCGAUUUUCCUGUCUCAGCCUCCCAAGUAGCUGGGAUUACAGACACGCACCACCAUACCCGGCUAGUUUUUGUAUUUUUAGUAGAGACGGGGUUUUACCAUGUUGGCUAGGCUGGUCUCGAACUCCUGACCUCAGGUGAUCUGCCCACCUCGGCCUCCCAAAGUGCUGGGAUUAUAGGCGUGAGCCACCACGCCAGGCCAGACCUGGCUAAUUAAAAAAAAAAAAAUACUCCCAAAGCACUGGGCUGACAGGUGUGACCUGUUUAAUUCUUUUGUUUGUUUCUUUACUUCUUAUUGUCUGCCUCUCUUCAGAAGCUAAUUCCCAUUAGAGCAGGUGCUGUAUUCUUUGCCACCACCAUAUCACCAGUGUCUACAACUGCCUGACACACAGUAGGUAGUCAGAUGCUGAAAGAGUGAAUGAAUGAUGUUCCCCCAGGGCAGGCACGGGUUCUCCAAGUGCCUGUUUCAACACUCCUCCCAUGCCACCACCCCUAGACCCAAGCUUGGCAUUCCUUUUUUCCUGAGUGAUCAGGAAGGCACAGCCACUGUCCCCGGCCUAGUGUGUGAUGUCUGUAGCUAAGAAAAAGGCUCCGUCCUUGCCUCAGCUCUGAGGGGUGGGGCCUCAGAGAUAAGGAGGACCCUACCCUUGUGUUGCUGGCCCUUCUUUUCAGCAUGUCAGACGAAUUUGUAAUUUCAACCCCAGCCUUUCCCUGCCCCAGCCAUAGUUGCUAAGGCAACAAUUGGGCCUCAAUUUCCUGAUGACCAGAGUCCACCAAUGGCUGCCAUCAUCCUGUUAUCUCCUGGUCAGCUAUUUGUGGCACCAUCUCAGCAGUGCCCCAGUCCGGCCAACGCAGAGGAAGUCACCAAGGAGGCUGGGAGGAGGAGCCUCAAGUUUUGCAGAAACUAUACACGGCAUCUGCUGUGUCACACCUCAUAUGUGCUGUUCCCUUCCUUUGGGUGCCUCUCUUGUCUCCUGGCCUGCUCUUCUGUCAUCAAGGCUGGGCUCGAAGCCUUCUCUGGGAAGCCCUAUGCGCAUAACGAUCCCUUCUGUGCAAGCCUGCAGAGCCUUUCCUGUCUCACUGCUCAGUGACUGACCUGCCCUAAGUCCUUUUCUCCUAGAUUUGCUCCCCAAAGACCAAGGAGGGUCUGGGUCAUUUCAUCUGGUGUCAAGCAAGGUGUGCCUCGGUCUCCCAGUGAGAGACCGUGCAUAGCAGGUGUUCCAACAGUGGGACUUCUGACACAUCGACAAUCCUAAUGACCCAGGGACUGAGACCGAUCAUCUUGUGGGUGGUCAGGACAGCAGGACUGAAGCGGUGACUUAGUUACAGCAGAGGAAGCCAGGCCAGACCCUACCGGGUGUCCCCCCUAACACAGGGUCCCAUGUGAGGUUGCAGCUCCCAUGCCACCACCCCCAGUGUCCUUGAGGGCGAGUUGGGUUGCCCUUCUGGAGGCCAUUAGUGCUUGUCACAGCAGCGUGUUGGGAGAUGGAGUCUGAGGGCCGUGAUCUGUGCUCCCUCUGGGAGUGUGGUCUGGAAGGGACAGAGGAAAGAGGAGCAGAAGGAGCCAGAAACCAAGCAGGCGCGGUGGCUCAUGUCUGGAAUCCCAGCACUUUGGGAGGCCGAGACAGGCGGAUCACCUGAGGUCAGGAGUUUGAGACGAGCCUGGCCAACAUGGUGAAACCCGUCUCUACUAAAAAUACAAAAAAUUAGCUGGGCGUUGUGGUGCACGCCUGUAAUCCCAGCUACUCAGUUGGCUGAGGUAGGAGAAUCGCUUGAACCAUGGAAGCGGACAUUGCAGUGAGCCGAGAUCACGCCACUACACUCCAGCCUGGGCGACAGAGUGAUACUCUGUCUCAAAAACAAUCAAACAAACAAAAGAAACCAAGCAGAAGCAGGUUUCAACCCCUUCGGCUGAUCCUGCCUUGUCCAGCAGGCUGAAUGAGCUUUGGAGUCAUAAUCAAUCACUUUCACUCUGUUGGGGACCAGAGGCAGUGUCAUCCUGCCCAGGCCACAAGGCAGCGGCAGAGAGCGUCACACCUCAGCUGGUGCGAUUCUGCGUGCAGCCCCAGGCUCAGUAGGUGCCAACCCCAAUGGCCACUACAGGGUUGCUGGCUUAGCCCUGGGAUCCCGCACACGCCCACCGUGAGGUAGCCUAGUGUGUCUUGCUCCAGCUGAUGCACUUCCACCCCUGGUCCCCGGGGGGCAUCAGGGACAAGUCUCUCUGGUUUGCAGAAGCCAAGUUACUCUGGGGCAGGAGCUGGGAUGGUGUAAGGGGGUAGUGGGCGUCCGUGGGCCGUGCAGAUUUCGGCCCUGGGCUGGGUAAAGCAAGCUUAUGCUGCACCUGUCCCCUGGGGCUGUUCUAUCCAGUGCUCCUCUCCAUAAUCCUUUACUGAUGGCGCCAGGCUGGGCUUCUGGGGCCCCUACAGGAUGGUCAAUGGGGGCUGGCUCUGGGUCCGCGAAGCAUUCUGUGCUCUGAUGGGAAGACUUAAAGGGAAACAAAGGGACCUCUGAAGAGUAUGAAUCACAUUAUUGGCACGGGUAAGUGGGUACUGGUAGCAACAGCAGGUGGUGUGGGUGGGGGUUGCCAAGAGGGCGAGGUAGGAAAUAGAAUAUAAGGAGAAAAAUGAUUGAAGAUCUCAAAUGUCCCUUUAUGAACCCCCCCCAGGGCCUCCCACCCGCCUAGCACAGCUCCCCACCUUCACCACGCCCCCUGCCCCACCCUCACUCGCACCAGUAACAACAGCGACCAUUGCCGGAGCACUCACUCUGUCCCGUCCCCAGGUUCAGGUGCUUUACAUAAUUCUUGCCUUUCAUCCUCACAACUCCAUGAGGGAGGUAGUGCCAUGACGCCCAUUUGACAGAUGAAGAAACAGGCCGAGAGGGGUCAGGUGACUUGUCCACAUCACAUAGGCAGGGAGUGGAACAACCAGAGUUGGAACUAAGCACACUCUUACCCUCCAUGCAGACUCCAGCAGAGAGCAAAGGAGAGAGGCUGAGGAAGAGUUUGAAGCCACAGUGACAUGUUCCUUGCCCACAUGUUUACCAUCUAUCUUGUAGCCUGGGGGCUGACACAUCAUCCUGCCUUCCCUCUUUUUUUUACAAGCCCUGCUUUGCAGAGGCUGGAGAACAGCCAAGCCAGAGCUGGGAGCAGCCUCUGGCCUGAAGCCCCAGUUGGAGAACUCAUCCAGGACAAAGACCAGUCUUCUGCGAGGUGGAUGAGAGUGGGUGUCCCGAGCAGAGGCUGUAGUUUAGGGAGGUUAGGCUGCUUGCUCAAGCCCUGUGUGGCCUGAGGUAUCAAGCAAAACAGCUGUCCCAGUCAUUAGACACCUAAUGUGUGCAUGAACCUGUCUCGGGUCCUCUUCCUUGGUCCAUGGUGUGGACUCCCUGAUAACUGAUUUGGAGAUGAGGGAAUAGGUCCCUUUCAGACACAGCCCAUGUGUAACCUUCUGGGGUGUAAUAGCUUUGACAAUGUACACCCCUUGGCCAGCAAUGACACCUCUAAUGCUCUAAUGUUCCCUCCUAUGGAAGUUUCUGUUCAGUUAGGCACAGGUUUCUUUUUUUUUUUUUUUUUUUUUUUGUUUGAGACAGAGUCUUGCUCUGUCAACAGGAUGGAGUGCAAUGGUGUGAUCUUGGCUCACUGCAAUCUCCACCUCCCUGGUUCAAGUGAUUCUCCUACCUCAGCCUCCCCAGUAGCUGGGAUUACAGCCACGCACCACCACUCCCAGCUAAUUUUUUGUUUUUUGUAGAGACAGGGUUUCACCAUGUUGGCCAGGAUGGUCUCAAUCUCUUGACUUCGUGAUCUGCCUGCCUCGGCCUCCCAAAGUGCUGGGAUUACAGGCAUGAGCCACCACGCCCGGCUGGCACAGGUCUAUCUCUAGUUCUACCAUCUCUAUCUCCAACUCCAUCAUCUCCCUUUUCCCCACCAUCACCAUCACCUCUGUCUCCAUCUCCAUCACUCAUCUCCAUCAUCUCUCUUCUGUGCCAUUGCUCUCCCCUCUCUCCUCUUUGAUGCUGCUAUUGUCUCUCUCAUCUCCCUCUAAAUUUAUAUCUAUAUAAUAGCAAAAUUAGCAAUAAGCAGAAAACUGGAAACAACGUAAAUGUGGAGCAAUUGGAGUUAAGUUCUGAUGUAUUUAAUAUGGGGUUGACUUCAGUUCUGAUAUAUUUAUAUGAUGAAAUAACCCUACAUUCAACAUAUUUGAGUACCUGUCUUUGCCAGGCACCACGACUCCAAAGGCAAACAAUACUAAGUAAUUAUUAAAAUGAUGCAAAAAGUUUAGUUCAGGAUGGUGAAUUAAACUUACACAUUUACCUCCUUUUCUCCUUUGCCAAAUCCCACUGAAAUGACAUUGGAGAUGUACAGAAAUGAACACAUCCAUAACAGAGCAUAGAAUAGGUAGAGAGGUGGGGGAGGGGGAAGGCUUAUACCAGCUACUGCAGUUAAGCUGCCUAGUUCUUUAUUCCUAAAUAUGGACAACCAAAGCUCACCAGAUAUUUGAGAUAAACCAGCAGCAUAAAAGAGAUGGCCCAACAUAAACAAGCAGAUCAACUGAUCCCAGAGGAAGUCAGAGAACAGAAGACAACUUUGAAAAAGCGUGUAAGUAGCUAUAUUCCUCACAGUGAAUGCCAGGUUUGGUGUGGUGGAGGAUGUGAGCAGCUGGAACUCCCCUACACUGCUGGUGGGAAUGCAAAAUGGUGCAGCCACUUUGGAAAACAGUUUGGCAGCUUCUUAAACAUAAGACAUGACCCAGCGAGUCCACUCCACAGAAAGACUUGUAUGUAACUGUUUAUAGUGGCUUUAUUCAUAUAGCCCCAAGUUGGAAAUAGCUGCACUACCAUGCUGUUACGUAGGCUGAAAGAGGUUUCCUCACUACACUAGGGUCCUCCAUCAUUAAUGCUUCUUUAAUAAAAACUCUUCUCAAGGCUGCUUUACUUCCAAAGGAAGCUGGAGUCAUUCACUGCAAAGGCCAUCAAAAGGCCCCACACUCCAUUGCUCAAGGCAACAAUUAUGCUGAUAAGACAGAAAAAGCAGCAGCCACUAUUCCUACUUCUGUCCCUCAUGGCCAGUUUUUCUCCUCAUCAGUCACGCCUACUUACUCUCGCACUGAAGUUUCCACCUAUCAAUCCCUCCCCACUGAAGGCAAAUGGUUCUUAGACCAAGGAAAUACCUCCUUUCACCCUCACAGGCUCAUUCCAUUCUGUCAUCUUUUCGUAACCUCUUCCAUGUAGGUUACAAGCCACUAGCCAGCCUCAUAGAACCUCUCAUUUCCUUUAAGACAUUUACCCUGCAUUUCACUCCAUCCUUGGCUACCUUCCCCCUGUAAGCCAGAGCGGGUGUGAGGAGGGGAGAUGAUAGAAGGAUUAUAGGGUUGGGGAGCGGAGGCUGAGGAAGAAUUGGGACGUGGCUCAGCCUGGCGAGGAGCAGCCUGGGGAGGAAGGAAGAGGUCAGAUGGGUCCGUAGAAAAGGAGGAUUCAAAGGACUUAGAGCUUGGGGUGGAGACUGAAGGAACAGACAGGAGAGAAGAAAUAUUUAGGACGAGUCACAUUGGGAGCAGAGACUAGGGAGGGACAAAUGUGUAAAAGAAUGCCUGGAUGUCAGGCACCUCAGACUAUGCCCAUUUUAUGACAAAAAUUAUCUAGAUCUUGUAGGAUGGAGAAAUUGAAAGCACUGUUUUCUGGCUAUUUAGAACCAUUAUCAAGGUUUGUAUUGGAGCCAAAUGGUGUUGCAGAAGAAAAUAAGACACUUAGGUUUUAGGUCAGGCGAAAGUUGAAGAGGUUUUACGUUUUUGAGAACACAGGUUAAGGGAGAAGAAGGGGGAAUAGAGGGUGGAAGGUUGCCCAUAGUGAAGGAGGCAAGCCCAGAGAAAAGAGAGGGUAGAGACACAGAGGUGGGGGCGGGCACUUGCCACCCAGGGGAGGUGGUACUUGCCACCCCGGUGGGGGGGGGGGUGGUACUUGCCACCAAGGUGAAGGAUCAAGGCAGGCGUCCCCAUGGUAAUCAGACACCUCUAGAAUGUGGGUGAAUGAUCAGGCAGGCAUCCCCGCAGUGAUUAAACACCAAGGGAAGACUUGUCUUCCCAAGUCCAUGACGGGCGCCGGCAUUUUUGGUUCACAGAUAAAACGUGUCUCGGGCCGGGCGCGGUGGCUCACGCCUGUAAUCCCAGCACUUUGGGAGGCCGAGGCAGGUGGAUCAUGAGGUCAGGAGAUCGAGACCAUCCUGGCUAACACAGUGAAACCCCGUCUCUACUAAAAAUACAAAAAAAAAAAUUAGCCGGACAUGGUGGCGGGCGCCUGUAGUCCCAGCUACUCGGGAGGCUGAGGCAGGAGAAUGGCGGGAACCCAGGAGGUGGAGCUUGCAGUGAGCCAAGAUGGCACCACUGCACUCCAGCCUGGGUGACAGAGCAAAACUCUCUCAAAAAAAAAAAAAAAAAAAAAAAAAGCGUCUCCUCUGUUUCUACUGGAAAAGGAAAGGAACUGAAAUUAAGGGAAGGGAGAGACUGAAGGGUGGCGCCGAAAUUGAAAGGAGAAAGAGGUUGAGGGAUAAUGAGAGAGGUUGGAGAAGAGUAAAAAGAGGCCGCUUACCCGAUUUAAAAUUGGUGAGGUGUUUCUUGGUCUGGUCUGAGGACCCGAGCUUGUGGGUGGAUUUUUCUCAUGGAGCAAAGAGCAGGAGGACAGGGGAUUGAUCUCCCAAGGGAGGUCCCCCGAUCCGAGUCACGGCACCAAAUGUCAUGCGUGUCCGUGUGAAGAGACCACCAACAGGCUUUGUGUGAGCAAUAAAGCUUUUUAAUCACCUGGGUGCAGGCAGGCUGAGUCCAUAAAAGGAGUCAGCAAAGGGAGAUGGGGUGGGGCACUUUUAUGGGAUUUGGGUGGGCAGUGGAAAAUUAUAGUCAAAGGGGGUCGUUCUCUUACGGGCAGGGGUAGGGGUCACAAGGUGCUCAGUGAAGGAACUUCUGAGCCAGGAGAAGGAAUUUCACAAGGUAAUGUCAUCAGUUAAGGCAGAAACUGGCCAUUUUUCACUUCUUUUGUGAUUCUUCAGGCUAUCUGGAUGUAUACGUGCAGGCUUGGGCUCAGAGGCCUGACAGUUACAUGACUGUAUACAUUUGUCAUAAGUCAUUAAAUUUUAUACUUACAAUUAUUGAAUUUUACUUAAGUAAAUAAUGCCUCAAUCAAAGCUGGUUUUUUUUGUUUUUUGUUUCUUUUGGAGACAGAGUCAUGCUCUGUCACCCAGGCUGGAGUACAGUGGUGUGAUCUCAGCUCACUACAACCUCCUCCUUCCAGGUUCAAGCAAUUCUCCUGCCUCAGCCUCCCAAAUAGCUGGAAUUAGAGGCAUGCACCACCACGCCUGGCUAAUUUUUGUAUUUUUAGUAGAGACAAGGAUUUGCCAUGUUGGCCAGGCUGGUCUCGAACUCCUGACCUCAAAUGAUCCGCCCACGUUGGCCUCCCAAAGUGUUGGGAUUUCAGGUGUGAGCCACUGUGCCCAGCCUAAAGCUGAUAUUUAAAAAGUGAAAAUAUGUAUCCUUAGAGAAAUUCAAACAGGCAAGCCAUUAAAAAGAAGAGCACAGGAUGCUACGAAAAAGGCACAGGUUUAGAAGACACCAAGGAAACCAGGAAAAUUAAAAAAAUAAUAAUAAAUAAAAUAAAAAGGCACAGGGAAUAAGACAAUAUUAGAAAUUACUGCCAAAACAGAGUGGCGAUUUUCAUGUCAGACAGGGUCAGACCUCAGAACAAGGGGCAGUACCAGGGAUAAAGAGGACCAUUUCCUAAAGAUAAAGGAUGGAGCAGUCAGGAGAACGGUACAAUCCUAAAUGCACAGGUGCCUAAGAGCAGAGCUCCAAAGUGCCAGACAAAGGCCAACGAACUACAGAGCUGGACAAUACACAUGCAGAGGUGAGAUUCCAACACCCUCUCUCAGUAAUCGACAGAAUCAGUGGACAGAAAACCUGGAUUUAGAAGACAUGAUAGUUAAUUUUAUGUGUCAACCUGACAGGUCAAAUAUUAUUCUGUAAAGGUGUUUUGGAUGAAAUUAACAUUUGAAUCAGUAGACUGAGUGAAGCGGAUUGCCCCCCUCAAUGUAGGUGAGCCUCAUCCAAUCCAUGAAGGCCUGAGUAGAACGAAAGUAAGGGGAAACGCUUCCUGACUCUCUUGAGUGGGGAUGACUGACAGUCUUUUCCUGCCUUCAGACUUGAACUGCAAUAUUGGUUCUUCCUGUAUCUCCAGCCUGCUGGCCUUUGGAUUGGAACUGCACCAUCAGCUCUCCUGGGCCUCCAGCUGCUAACUCACCCUGCAGAUCUUGUGACCUCAGCCUUCAUAAUCAUGUGAACUGAUUUCUUCUCUUUUUUUUUUUUUUUUUUUUUUUGAGACGGAGUCUCUGUUGCCCAGGCUGGAGUGCAGUGGUGCGAUCUCGGCUCACUGCAGCCUCUGCCUCCCAGGUUCAAGUAAUUCUCCUGCCUCCCAAGUGGCUGGGAUUACAGGAGUAUGCCACCAUGCCCAGCUAAUUUUUUUGUAUUUUUAGUAGAGACAGGGUUUCAUCAUGUUGGCCAUGCUGGUCUCGAACUCCUGACCUCAAGUGGUCUGCCUGCCUUGGCCUCCCAAAGUGCUGGGGUUACAGGCGUGAGCCACCGUGCUUGGCCAUCAUGUGAACUGAUUUCUUAUUUCUCUCUCUAUGUAUCUCUCUCUACAUACACAUACAUCCCCCCCCCACACACACACACACCAUUAGUUUAAUCUCUGGAGAACCCUGAUUAAUACAGAAGACAUGAAGCAGACUAUUAAACAACUUGACCUAAGUGACAUUUAUAGAACACUCCGCCCAGCAACAGCACAGUACAUAUUCUUUUCAAUUGCACAUGGAACAUUCACCAAGAUAGGUCUCAAUACAUUUAAAAGGAUCAAAAUUAUGUUAAACAUGAUUAACAAAACAGAACAUUUUGUAGAAGAGCUAGAGGAUUAAGUAAAAAAAAAAUUCCUAGAAUACGAAGACACUAAAAGAGUAUAUAAGUGAAAAAUUGAGGGAGGAUACUGUGCCAGGAAGUACAGUGUCUACUAGAAGUUUCAGAAAGAGGAAACAGAGAAAAUCAGGGGCUGGGAUGUGAGAAUGAAGAAGUAAAAGAAGAACAAGUUCCCAGAAGAAAGUAUCGAGAUUCAAAAUCUCAUGGUAUCAGAGGCGUUUGAACCAGAGCAACUUCAUCUUGAGUAGGGGCGGGGUAAAAUGAGGCUGAGACCUACUGGGCUGCACUGCCAAUGCCAAUGGUGAAGGCAUUCUAAGUAAUAGGAUGAGAUAGGAGGUCAUCACAAGAUACAGGUUGUAAAGACCUUGCUGAUAAAACAGGUUGCGGUAAAGAAGGCAGCCCAAAACCCACCAAAACCAAGAUGGCAACCAGAGUGAUCUUGGUCGUCCUCACUGCCACACUCCUGCCAGCGCCAUGACAGGUUACAGAUGCCAUGGCAAUGCCAGGAAGUUACUUAAUAUGGUCUAAAAAAGGGUGGCAUGAAUAAUCCGCCUCUUGUUUAGCAUAUAAUCAAGAAAUAACCAUAAAAAUGGGCAACCAGCAGCGCUCGGGGCUGCUCUAUGGAGCAGCUUUUCUUUAGUCCUUUACUUUGCUAAUAAACUUGCUUUCACUUUACUGUAUGGACUCGCCCUGUCUCUACAAAAAAGAAAGAAAAAAAAAGUGACAGUAAAAUAAAGGCUUUUUAGGCAUGCAGAAACUCGCUCCCUCUGUACCUGUCCUGAAAAAAUGACUGAUAUCAGACAUGGUAGCCCUGUGAAGGUGUAGCCCUGCAAAUUGAAAUGGAAUCCAAGAGGCCGGGCGCGGUGGUUCAUGCCUGUAAUCCCAGCACUUUGGGAGGCUGAGGUGGGCGGAUCACUUGAGGUCAAGAGUUCAAGACCAGCCUGGCCAACAUGGUGAAACCCCGUCUCUACUAAAAAUACAAGAAGUUAGCCUGGCAUGGUGGCGGGUGCCUGUAAUGCCAGCUACUCGGGAGGCUGAGGCAGGAGAAUCACUUGAACCCAGGAGGCGGAGGUUGCAGUGAGCCGAGAUCGAGCCAUUGCACUCCAGCCUGGGGAACAAGAGCGAAACCCCGUCUCAAAAAAAAAAAAAAAAAGAAAGAAAAAAGAAAUGGAAUCCAAGGAGCAAGGUGUGGAACCCAAGAAGCAGAGAAAUUAACCCAGGAAUCAAUGAAACGAAAACAGCUUUGCCGCAGGUCCCCCAAAACAAGAGGUCAGAAGGAGAAAAAAAUGGAUUCCAUGCAACAGCUAGCAUUAUUACAAAGGGGAAAGACCUCAGUCAUAUGGUGAAGAAAAUGACACGUUUCUUAAGAAGGAAAAACAACAACAACAAAACUCCAGGUAAAAAAGAAAUCUAAUAUUAUCAUGUCCUAAAUAAGGUACAAACUCAAAUCUGGCAUUAUUUUAAUUAACUGAUGUAGUAUAAGAGAAAAUCCAUUUUAUAUUGCUGCUUAGAAUAUUCCUUUUUGAGUAACACAGGCUGACUGACAUAGGAUUAUGUCUUUAAGUCCAUUUCAUUAGGUUUACAGUAACGAUGUUUAUAUAACCAUAAUGUUGUGAAUACUUCCUCCCCGAACUCAUAAGCUCUGGGUUUUAUAUAUUACUAACCUAAAGCCAUGUAUCAGUGGCUUUGCUUGAGCAAAGGAUCAUUUGGACCCAGAAAGCUUAUUUUCAAGGCAGCUUUCAAAAAGUCAAGUGGCAGGGCAGCACUGUUCACAUUUUGAUGUGCACCUCCCCAUCAUCUCCC
RNAcentral lists this long non-coding RNA (14645 nucleotides) under Homo sapiens (human). RNAcentral's name for it is "non-protein coding lnc-RPL12-1:3". The record is from RNAcentral. Lineage: Eukaryota; Metazoa; Chordata; Mammalia; Primates; Hominidae.